UACGGAGGAUCCGAGCGUUAUCCGGAUUUAUUGGGUUUAAAGGGUGCGUAGGCGGACUCUUAAGUCGGUGGUGAAAUCCUGGAGCUCAACUCCAGAACUGCCUUCGAUACUGAGAGUCUCGAGUCCGGGAGAGGUGAGUGGAACUGCGAGUGUAGAGGUGAAAUUCGUAGAUAUUCGCAAGAACACCAGUGGCGAAGGCGGCUCACUGGCCCGGUACUGACGCUGAGGUGCGAAAGCGUGGGGAGCAAACAGG
RNAcentral lists this ribosomal RNA (253 nucleotides) under uncultured bacterium. RNAcentral describes it as "partial 16S ribosomal RNA". It matches the Rfam family "Bacterial small subunit ribosomal RNA", at positions 524 to 776 of the family's 1533-position model. The record is from RNAcentral.